Molecule: ribosomal RNA, 888 nt
Filed under: Triticum aestivum (bread wheat)
Lineage: Eukaryota; Viridiplantae; Streptophyta; Magnoliopsida; Poales; Poaceae
Description: partial small subunit ribosomal RNA
Source: RNAcentral
AUGGAGGAUUGGGGAUUCCUAACAUCAAGGAAUUUAAUAUGGCCUUGCUGGCUUCCUGGGGCAAAAGGUUCUUUGAUGAAUCUGAUGCAGACUAGAAAAAAUUUUAUUAGUUACAAGUAUAGAGUGAACUCUCCUAACCUAUUAUGGGCAAAAGGAGAUGGCGGCUCUACCUUUUGGAAGAGCAUCACUUGGGCAUUAGCAGCUGCUAAAAAUUUCUAUAGAUGGAAGCUGGGUAAUGGUGAGUUGAUUAGUUUUUGGCAUGAUACCUGGGUUGGGGAAUGUUCCCUGAAGGUUCAAUUUUGGGACUUGUAUUGCAUGUGCAAUCAAAUGGAAUGCAUUGUGGCUCAAGUAUGGGACAGGCAAGAACUUAAGUUAUCCUUUAGGAGAUGUGUAGAUCAAAAUGGGCUUAACAGAUGGGACUCUUUGUUGAAACUUGUUCAACAGUGUAUCUUAUCAAAUGAACCUGAUACACAGAUUUGGUCCUUGGAAUCUAAUGAAUUAUACUCGGUGAAAUCUUUCUAUAAAUGCAUCAACUUUGGGGGGAUAGCCUCUGCUAUCAAAGAUGAUCUGUGGAAGAUUAUGUGCCCGCAGAAGAUACAUGUAUUCCUAUGGUUGUGUGCUCACAAUAAACUUCUGACUAGGGAUAAUCUGUUAAAGAGGAGGGAGGUUGAGGAUCCUUCCUGUCUCUUUUGUGCAGAGCUCGAAUCUGUACAACAUUUGAUGUUUGACUGUGUAGUUGCUCAACAUGUGUGGGGUUUUGUAUCUGACUUCUUUGAGAUGGAUAGAAUUGCUAACUUUGACGAUAUCUUUGCUUUCUGGCGAGUUCAUAAAAAAAGCAUGUGCUUAACAUGGUUAUUGCUGCCUCCUUGUGGAGUUUGUGGAGACUAA